RNAcentral lists this long non-coding RNA (346 nucleotides) under Eucalyptus grandis. Its description in RNAcentral is "long non-coding RNA (EGRA_LNC006170)". The record is from RNAcentral. Lineage: Eukaryota; Viridiplantae; Streptophyta; Magnoliopsida; Myrtales; Myrtaceae.
UGUCGAUCUCCUUUUUCUAUUAUAAGAGAUCCAAAUAUACUUUCAUCCCAUGACACAAUAAUUCUGUAUGGGCUAUAGUUGGACAAAUUUAUUCCGUGAUCUGCUGUGGAGACCUUCUCUUGCACUCACUAUAGCUUGAUGCAGGUUCCAAUCUCCCGUUGCUACCUUUACCAAAAAAAAAAAAUCUCCCGUUGCUACCUCUCAAGGCAGCUUUGAAUACCCAGAUUGAAUUGCUGGGUAUCUGCCUCUAGAGUGAGCUGCCAUCUUCCGUGGACCCACUAGCAAUAAUGCUUGCUGUCACAAACUCAAAUGCGAUAAUAGGCUUGGCGGCAGAGGCGAGAAUUAU